AGUGAACGCUGGCGGUAGGCCUAACACAUGCAAGUCGAACGGCAGCACAGUAAGAGCUUGCUCUUACGGGUGGCGAGUGGCGGACGGGUGAGGAAUACAUCGGAAUCUACUUUUUCGUGGGGGAUAACGUAGGGAAACUUACGCUAAUACCGCAUACGACCUACGGGUGAAAGCAGGGGAUCUUCGGACCUUGCGCGAUUGAAUGAGCCGAUGUCGGAUUAGCUAGUUGGCGGGGUAAAGGCCCACCAAGGCGACGAUCCGUAGCUGGUAUGAGAGGAUGAGCAGCCACACUGGAACUGAGACACGGUCCAGACUCCUACGGGAGGCAGCAGUGGGGAAUAUUGGACAAUGGGCGCAAGCCUGAUCCAGCCAUACCGCGUGGGUGAAGAAGGCCUUCGGGUUGUAAAGCCCUUUUGUUGGGAAAGAAAAGCAGCAGGUUAAUACCCCGCUGUUCUGACGGUACCCAAAGAAUAAGCACCGGCUAACUUCGUG
Molecule: ribosomal RNA, 492 nt
Filed under: uncultured bacterium
Lineage: Bacteria
Description: partial 16S ribosomal RNA
Rfam family: Bacterial small subunit ribosomal RNA
Source: RNAcentral